Molecule: long non-coding RNA, 482 nt
Filed under: Linum usitatissimum (flax)
Lineage: Eukaryota; Viridiplantae; Streptophyta; Magnoliopsida; Malpighiales; Linaceae
Description: long non-coding RNA (LUSI_LNC001687)
Source: RNAcentral
UUAGGCUUGGCUAUUUUAUUCGACCAUGCGGGUAUUCGACCCUAUUCGAUUCGAUCGAAGAGGAUAAUACCAGCACUGAACGGGGAAUGCCCACACAAAAUGAGUGGGUACGGAUUGGGGAUGGGUUUAGGUUUCCCCGCCUCAUACCCAUACUCAUAUCUUAUGUUUCUACACACAAUUUAAAUUUACUUUCAAACCUUAUCAUGUCUACCAUGACUCUGAAGAUUAAUUUGGAAGUUAACAUGUUGCAUGCAUCAUUUGUUAAUUUGACCAUAACUUGCAUCUUUUCCAGAUAUGGACCAUUGUCUUAGGUUCAUGUUGGCAAGUUUCUGUUUCUGCCAAGUUCAUCUAUGUAGUUUAUUACUUCAAUAUAAUACAAGCACUUUAAUAUUUAUGGAUUUUUUUUGUUUGCGUAGAGGAUUUUCCUGAACUAUCUUCUUACGCAUAGCCAGUGCGAAUGAUUAUCCAGAUCCAUUCUUCAU